Long non-coding RNA from Procambarus clarkii (red swamp crayfish), 299 nucleotides. RefSeq lists it as uncharacterized. The record is from RefSeq and is a predicted model, not a curated record. NCBI's taxonomy places the organism in Eukaryota, Metazoa, Arthropoda, Malacostraca, Decapoda, Cambaridae.
UAAAGUGUAUAGUUUUAAGAGGUAGUAAAGCUUGUGGAGUAAGUAUACAUGUUGAAGGUAAUGACGUCACGUCCGGGCGAGGAGCGAGUCCUUCCCAGCGUCUGGCCCGUCAGAUUAAUAUCCCGGCAAGAUGCGUGCUAAGUGGAGGAAGAAGCGUAUGCGCAGGCUGAAGAGAAAGCGCAGGAAGAUGAGGGCGAGGUCAAAGUAGACUUCCUUUUACCCCUUUGCAAGAUGAAUGCUGUUGCCGAUACUUCAGUUUCCCCCAUUUUGCAUAAAUUUUAAUAAACAUCUUAAAGGGU